This 535-nucleotide ribosomal RNA is filed under the name uncultured bacterium. RNAcentral describes it as "partial 16S ribosomal RNA". It matches the Rfam family "Bacterial small subunit ribosomal RNA", at positions 355 to 902 of the family's 1533-position model. The record is from RNAcentral.
UGGGGAAUAUUGGACAAUGGGCGCAAGCCUGAUCCAGCCAUGCCGCGUGAGUGAUGAAGGCCCUAGGGUUGUAAAGCUCUUUCACCGGUGAAGAUAAUGACGGUAACCGGAGAAGAAGCCCCGGCUAACUUCGUGCCAGCAGCCGCGGUAAUACGAAGGGGGCUAGCGUUGUUCGGAUUUACUGGGCGUAAAGCGCACGUAGGCGGACUUUUAAGUCAGGGGGUGAAAUCCCGGGGGCUCAACCCCGGAACUGCCUUUGAUACUGGAAGUCUUGAGUAUGGUAGAGGUGAGUGGAAUUCCGAGUGUAGAGGUGAAAUUCGUAGAUAUUCGGAGGAACACCAGUGGCGAAGGCGGCUCACUGGACCAUUACUGACGCUGAGGUGCGAAAGCGUGGGGGAGCAAACAGGAUUAGAUACCCUGGUAGUCCACGCCGUAAACGAUGAAUGUUAGCCGUUGGGGAGUUUUAACUCUUCGGUGGCGCAGCUAACGCAUUAAACAUUCCGCCUGGGGAGUACGGUCGCAAGAUUAAAAACUC